CAGCCGCCGCGGUAAUACGAAGGGUGCAAGCGUUACUCGGAAUUACUGGGCGUAAAGCGUGCGUAGGUGGUGGUUUAAGUCCGUUGUGAAAGCCCUGGGCUCAACCUGGGAAUUGCAGUGGAUACUGGAUCACUAGAGUGUGGUAGAGGAUAGUGGAAUUUCCGGUGUAGCAGUGAAAUGCGUAGAGAUCGGAAGGAACAUCUGUGGCGAAGGCGACUAUCUGGGCCAACACUGACACUGAGGCACGAGAGCGUGGGGAGCAAACAGGAUUAGAUACCCCCGUAGUCCCUGUCUCUUAUAC
Molecule: ribosomal RNA, 301 nt
Filed under: uncultured bacterium
Lineage: Bacteria
Description: partial 16S ribosomal RNA
Rfam family: Bacterial small subunit ribosomal RNA
Source: RNAcentral